Molecule: unclassified non-coding RNA, 348 nt
Filed under: soil metagenome
Description: partial contains 5.8S ribosomal RNA, internal transcribed spacer 2, and large subunit ribosomal RNA
Rfam family: 5.8S ribosomal RNA (bases 1-120)
Source: RNAcentral
GAUGAAGAACGCAGCGAAAUGCGAUAAGUAGUGUGAAUUGCAGAUUUCAGUGAAUCAUCGAAUCUUUGAACGCACAUUGCGCCCUUUGGUAUUCCUUAGGGCAUGCCUGUUCGAGCGUCAUUUAAACCUUCAAGCUCAGCUUGGUGAUGGGUGACUGUCCGCUGCCUCCCCCCGGGGUGCGCCGCGGACUCGCCUCAAAUUUAUUGGUGGCCGGUACGUUGGCUUCGAGCGCAGCAGAAACGCGUAACUCGAGGUCUCCGUGGCGGCUCCCACAAGCAACCUUCAUUAUUUUGACCUCGGAUCAGGUAGGGAUACCCGCUGAACUUAAGCAUAUCAAUAAGCGGAGGA